This 817-nucleotide long non-coding RNA is filed under the name Equus caballus (horse). RNAcentral's name for it is "lncRNA (ENSECAG00000058577.1)". Lineage: Eukaryota; Metazoa; Chordata; Mammalia; Perissodactyla; Equidae. The record is from RNAcentral.
AUUCCUCUGCAAAGCCGUUCACGGGACACCAUGGGCCCUGAGGCAGACAAGCACCCUGACACAGAGGAGACUACAGGAAAUCACCCGAGGCGCGCAGGCCAGGCCCUGCGGUGUCCAGACCCUCAGUUUGGACCCAGGCCCCUCCCCAGGUCUUGCUCCAGGACGUGGGGGCAGAGGACAACAAAAGUCCUGUUCCAGUGAGUUUACAGAACUACAGGGGUGAGGGGAGGUGAUGAGGGAGAUGCCCUACACUGCACGCUACUAAGCGCUUUGGACAAAAGUUGACAAAAGUGGAGCAGGAGAGGCAGACCCAGCAUGUCCUGGGCUGCGGGCGGUGACGGCCUCCCAGGGUUCAACUGUGGAACCAAGCAAACAUCUGGACAUACGCCCCUCCAGGCACCAGGCGUUCUUGUUUCUGGCCAACACCACCCCACCCCAGAGGUGCGGGGAGCCCAGCAGACGCCAUCCAGCUCCUGACUAGUUAACCUGGAGUUAAUCAGAAGUCGAUGCCAUGCUGAAUUUCAUGUGUCGUCUUGACUGGGCCCCAGGAUGCCCAGAUAUUCAGCACCUUCUCCCCGUGUCCUCGCCCACCCUCCCUCUGUGCGCGUCUGUGUCCUCAUCCCUCUUGUGAUACGCCCCCAGUCAGACGGGAUGAGGGCCAACUCUAAUGACCUGACUUUAACUUAAUCACCUCCUUAAUCACCCCGUCUCCAAGUACAGCGUCGCAUUCUGAGAUCGGAGGGAAAUUUAGGGGCAGAGUCUCUACAUCCCAGGUGCAGCAAGGCCUGCAAAGGAGGUUGAAGCAGAGACCUGAGGU